AUGGCGGAGGCUUUAGCACUCAAAUUUGGCCUAAUACUGGCGCAAAGGGUCAGAUGCAAUUGCCUUAUCAUAAACUCAGACAAUAUAGAGGUGAUUGAUUCGAUGAAUGAUGGAGGGCAGUUGGCGGCGGCAGUGUUUGACAAUUGUUACUUUUUAGCAUGUGACUUUUCCAUUACUAAAUUUGAGCAUUGUAAUAGAAAAGCAAAUAUGAUCGUACAUGAACUUGCUAAGUUAGCUAGAUUUUCUUCAUCUUUGAACUGGUUUGAGGAACCCUCGAGUGAAAUAUUAUAUGGCAUAUCCAUACUUUAA
This 309-nucleotide ribosomal RNA is filed under the name Triticum aestivum (bread wheat). RNAcentral's name for it is "partial small subunit ribosomal RNA". Lineage: Eukaryota; Viridiplantae; Streptophyta; Magnoliopsida; Poales; Poaceae. The record is from RNAcentral.